UUCUUUUCCAUUUUUUAAUGGCAAUUUCUCUCUUUUUUUUUAAAUUUUUAAAUUAGCAUAUAGUUGAUUUAUAAUGGCAAUUUCAUUUGGUUUAUUUUCAGAAUAUUUACUGAGCAUGCAAUGAAGGUCUGUGCCAAACCCAAGCGCAGUAAUAAAGAAACAAUCCCAGUCCAGAGUCAAAGAGCUCAGAACCUUGUAAGGAAAGAUGCAGAUAUGUCUUUAUUUUCACGCCUUUCUUCAAAAGGACUGACAGAGAACAAAGAGAUGUGCAACAUAAGAAAAUGAGAUAUAUUAGGAGAAAACAAGGAAGAUAAGACAAAGGGAAAGCAAUGAUGGGACCGUAAAACAGAGCUGGACUGAGACACAAAAUAAAUACAAUAAAGGCUUAUGUGUAUUUGCUAGGGAUCCACCAGGAAUUUGACUCUUAGCUUUUUAGCAGUCUCUGUAAAAGAAGAAGCAUGAUCAGUUAUACAAACCAUAGGUUCCACCAGAUAAGAGCAAACUGACUGCUCAGGAAAAAUAUCACUAGUCUUGAUAUAAGGCCAAACCAACAAACCCUCAAGGAUCCUACAAAUAAAUGCAGUACUGCUGGUAUCCUGAAGAACAUCCUCAGUAAUACGCUUAUCGUAAAAGAGCGGGGCUGUUCCUCACAGCACAUCUCAGUGGGGGCUGAUGGCUUAUCAUCAAAGUCUAGCUCAGUAAAUGCAAUUUUACAGGGCUUUGUUUAAGCAGAAAAAAAAUCAUUAUAAUGGGACAGAAAUACACCUAAAGUGUUAUGGGAGAACAGAGAGGACAUAACCGCAAUUUUAUUAUUCAAGGUUGGUGCAGACAUCAUCCUUGAGGAGGGAUUCUGGGAACUUCUAUUAUGUUUCCAAAGGAAAUAUGCAAUUUUUGUUGCAAACACCUAACCUUCUUAAAACUCAAAUUUUCACUAUCAUGAAAUAUUGUUUCAAAAGGGUGUUCUCAUCAUAGGAAAGUUCACAUUAAAAAAUCAAAACACAGAGUUCCUGUCAUGGUGCAGUGGUUAAUGAAUCCGACUAGGAACCAUAAGUUUUUGGAGUUGUAUUAAGUUUAUAGUAGGCUCCCUCAGAUAACCAAGACCACAGAACAAAAGGAGUUCUUGGGAGAUUAGUUCUGAUUCUAUGCUAAACUGCAUUUAAAAAAAAUUAAUAUGGUCAGGAGUUAUCUUUCUGCCUAAUAAUAGAAAAAAGAAAGAGCAACAGAAAAGGAAGUUAUUAACAUAAAAGAAUCCACACAUAUGAUAUCAGAGUCUUAAAUUUCUAAUGCAUUCUAUAAAAAGGGGUGACAUGACUGUCUUGAAAGAACGAAAAUGUAAUAUGUGUCUACAGUUGGUUUUAUAAAGGUGGUAUUUUUCUUCAGUAUUCAAACAAGUGUGAGAGGGAAGUAGCAUUUUCUAAUAUCUCUUUCAACCAUGUCUCGCUUCCUCAUCAACAGGUACAGGGCAGCCUGGGUGAACCUGGCAAGUGAGUGGCAGAAGGGCCUCCAGAGCACAGUGACUGGGGUAACACCAGAUAAUGAAGAAUGAAGUUAAAUCUCCACAGAUAAAAAUGCACCAAAUGAGAACAACUGGCACAGAUGAGAAACCUACUAGCCCACCACGGGUCAGUGCGCACUGGGAGCCAUUUGCACUGAUUAUUCUCACUCUCUUCGAGUACCUGUGCUUAGCUGCUGAGAUUGCAAACCGAUAUUUAAGAUCUUCAACCAGCAGUGCUUUAGAUACAAAAGGGUGACAACACUUUGUGUGUAUGACAGAAACAAAAACCAAGUAUGUCAAACCCAUCGGCCACCAAUGGAAGAAAUUCAGUAGCAUCUUUUUAUCUAGGGUAUAUAAUCGGUCUUCCAUACAAGCAUAACUUUAUUUCCUCUCAAAGUAAGCUUUUUCAUAAAGGGUGGAUCUUUCAGUUUAAGGAUCUUUUGUUUGCUGAGCACUAAUGAAGUCGUCCUCAGUACUACAGACACUUGAAAACAGUAUUAAGUGGAGGGUGAGGAGGCGUUGGGGUGCGAUCUAUUUCUAUACAGAAGAGAUUGGAAAGGUGGGUGGAGACAAAACCAAGGACAGGAAGCUGGAGGUGGAAAGGGAGGGAAGAGGAAAGACAGGGAGCAGGAGACACAUCAACUGGGGGAAGGAAGGGAGGAGAUAUGGGGCAGAAAGAUUUGAGGGAGGAGACCCGCCUCAUACAAGAAAAUAGUUUGUCCUCUAACCAUCCACCCUGAUAUGUGAUACUCACAUAGCACAUAUACAACCUCACGUAAAAUACCAGCCAGUCACCACUGGCUGAUGGAGUGGAUUUUCCUUGGGGGGGACCAAUAGCUGUGCUUGAUGCUUCACAUCCAGAGUGGAACAAGAACCGAGGCAGCCUGGAGAGGACAGGUAUACUCAUCCGCUGUUUUUCUAACUGAAGAACCAGUAAAAAUCCCUGAAAGGCUGCACCUGUCUUUGUCUCCACCUCACUCUCCCACUUCAUCCAUCAAGUGUCCAGAUUCUAUGGAUUCUGCCUCCACCGCCUUUUACAAGCAGACCU
Molecule: long non-coding RNA, 2543 nt
Filed under: Sus scrofa (pig)
Lineage: Eukaryota; Metazoa; Chordata; Mammalia; Artiodactyla; Suidae
Description: lncRNA (ENSSSCG00035028150.1, ENSSSCG00065014209.1)
Source: RNAcentral